AUGGACCUGGACGGCUUCCCACUCGACCACGAGUUUCCGGAGGACUACGUCCUCGAGGAGGAAGAGGAUGAGUUGGACUUCGACGGGGAGUCUUUGUUCGAGGACGAGCUCACCAACCAAGCCGUCGGGGCAAAGCCGAAGCACAAGAGCAGGCGUACAAAGGCAUACGCGUCGUCCGAGGACAAGCUUCUUUGUGAGUGUCGGAGGGACAUUGGGCAAGACCCCAAGGUUGGUGCCGAACAAAAGGCAUCAACCUUUUGGAUUCGUGUCCAUCGUGAGUUCCGUGAGCUCAAGAAGUUUCCGCCGUACCAAAUGCAUAGCACGCGCGGGUGGGUUUCCAUAUCGAAGCAAUGGAGGGUGAUACAACAAGAAUGCAACAAGUUUUGUGCCACCCUUGAGAGCAUCAAGGCACGCCCCGUGAGCGGCAUCGGCAUGCAAGAUAUGGUACAUGCGCCCCUCUUCGUUUCCAUUCCUUAUGCUUGCAUGUCCAUUUGCAUAUCCAUUUUUACCCAUAUGCUUGCAUGCUAUUUGUUAAAAAUAAUUCUGUAA
Molecule: ribosomal RNA, 549 nt
Filed under: Triticum aestivum (bread wheat)
Lineage: Eukaryota; Viridiplantae; Streptophyta; Magnoliopsida; Poales; Poaceae
Description: partial small subunit ribosomal RNA
Source: RNAcentral